This 71-nucleotide transfer RNA is filed under the name Loxodonta africana (African savanna elephant). It matches the Rfam family "tRNA". From Rfam's summary of the family: Transfer RNA (tRNA) molecules are approximately 80 nucleotides in length. Their secondary structure includes four short double-helical elements and three loops (D, anti-codon, and T loops). Further hydrogen bonds mediate the characteristic L-shaped molecular structure. tRNAs have two regions of fundamental functional importance: the anti-codon, which is responsible for specific mRNA codon recognition, and the 3' end, to which the tRNAs corresponding amino acid is attached (by aminoacyl-tRNA synthetases). tRNAs cope with the degeneracy of the genetic code in two manners: having more than one tRNA (with a specific anti-codon) for a particular amino acid; and 'wobble' base-pairing, i.e. permitting non-standard base-pairing at the 3rd anti-codon position. The record is from Rfam by way of RNAcentral. Lineage: Eukaryota; Metazoa; Chordata; Mammalia; Proboscidea; Elephantidae.
GCACUGGUGAUUCAGUGGUAGAAUAUUUGCCUUCCGUAGGGGAGACCUGGGUUCAAUUCCUGGCCAGUGCA